AGAGUUUGAUCCUGGCUCAGAUUGAACGCUGGCGGCAUGCCUUACACAUGCAAGUCGAACGGCAGCACGGGGGCAACCCUGGUGGCGAGUGGCGAACGGGUGAGUAAUACAUCGGAACGUGUCCUGGAGUGGGGGAUAGCCCGGCGAAAGCCGGAUUAAUACCGCAUACGAUCUCUGGAUGAAAGCGGGGGACUGAAAGGCCUCGCGCUCAAGGGGCGGCCGAUGGCAGAUUAGCUAGUUGGUGGGGUAAAGGCCUACCAAGGCGACGAUCUGUAGCUGGUCUGAGAGGACGACCAGCCACACUGGGACUGAGACACGGCCCAGACUCCUACGGGAGGCAGCAGUGGGGAAUUUUGGACAAUGGGGGCAACCCUGAUCCAGCAAUGCCGCGUGUGUGAAGAAGGCCCUCGGGUUGUAAAGCACUUUUGUCCGGAAAGAAAACCGCUUCUCUAAUACAGAGGUGGGAUGACGGUACCGGAAGAAUAAGCACCGGCUAACUACGUGCCAGCAGCCGCGGUAAUACGUAGGGUGCGAGCGUUAAUCGGAAUUACUGGGCGUAAAGCGUGCGCAGGCGGUUCGCUAAGACCGAUGUGAAAUCCCCGGGCUUAACCUGGGAACUGCAUUGGUGACUGGCGGGCUAGAGUAUGGCAGAGGGGGGUAGAAUUCCACGUAGCAGUGAAAUGCGUAGAGAUGUGGAGGAAUACCGAUGGCGAAGGCAGCCCCCUGGGCCAAUACUGACGCUCAUGCACGAAAGCGUGGGGAGCAAACAGGAUUAGAUACCCUAGUAGUCC
Molecule: ribosomal RNA, 791 nt
Filed under: uncultured bacterium
Lineage: Bacteria
Description: bacterial SSU rRNA
Rfam family: Bacterial small subunit ribosomal RNA
Source: RNAcentral